Molecule: ribosomal RNA, 491 nt
Filed under: uncultured bacterium
Lineage: Bacteria
Description: SSU rRNA
Rfam family: Bacterial small subunit ribosomal RNA
Source: RNAcentral
AGAUUGAACGCUGGCGGCAUGCCUUACACAUGCAAGUCGAACGGUAACAGGUUAAGCUGACGAGUGGCGAACGGGUGAGUAAUAUAUCGGAACGUGCCCAGUAGUGGGGGAUAGCCCGGCGAAAGCCGGAUUAAUACCGCAUACGACCUACGGGUGAAAGCGGGGGAUCGCAAGACCUCGCGCUAUUGGAGCGGCCGAUAUCAGAUUAGCUUGUUGGUGGGGUAAAAGCCCACCAAGGCGACGAUCUGUAGCUGGUCUGAGAGGACGACCAGCCACACUGGGACUGAGACACGGCCCAGACUCCUACGGGAGGCAGCAGUGGGGAAUUUUGGACAAUGGACGAAAGUCUGAUCCAGCCAUGCCGCGUGCGGGAAGAAGGCCUUCGGGUUGUAAACCGCUUUGUCAGGGACGAAAGUCUCGGGUUAAUACCUUGGGAUGAUGACGGUACCUGAAGAAUAAGCACCGGCUAACUACGCGCCAGCAGCCGCGGU